RNAcentral lists this ribosomal RNA (288 nucleotides) under uncultured bacterium. RNAcentral describes it as "partial 16S ribosomal RNA". It matches the Rfam family "Bacterial small subunit ribosomal RNA", at positions 773 to 1060 of the family's 1533-position model. The record is from RNAcentral.
GUGGAUUAGAUACCCGGGUAGUCCUAGCCGUAAACGGUGAGCACUAGGUGUUGGAGGCAUCGACCCCUCCAGUGCCGCAGCUAACGCAUUAAGUGCUCCGCCUGGGGAGUACGGCCGCAAGGUUGAAACUCAAAGGAAUUGACGGGGGCCCGCACAAGCGGUGGAGCAUGUGGUUUAAUUCGACGCAACGCGAAGAACCUUACCCAGACUUGACAUGCAUUGGACCGGUGUGGAAACACACCUUCCCUUCGGGGCCGGUGCACAGGUGCUGCACGUCCGUCGUCAGCU